This 450-nucleotide ribosomal RNA is filed under the name uncultured bacterium. RNAcentral's name for it is "partial 16S ribosomal RNA". It matches the Rfam family "Bacterial small subunit ribosomal RNA", at positions 354 to 796 of the family's 1533-position model. The record is from RNAcentral.
GUGGGGAAUUUUGGACAAUGGGCGCAAGCCUGAUCCAGCAAUGCCGCGUGCAGGAAGAAGGCCUUCGGGUUGUAAACUGCUUUUGUACGGAACGAAACGGUCCGGGUUAAUACCCUGGGCUAAUGACGGUACCGUAAGAAUAAGCACCGGCUAACUACAUGCCAGCAGCCGCGGUAAUACGUAGGGUGCAAGCGUUAAUCGGAAUUACUGGGCGUAAAGCGUGCGCAGGCGGUUUUGUAAGACAGGCGUGAAAUCCCCGGGCUCAACCUGGGAAUUGCGCUUGUGACUGCAAGGCUGGAGUGCGGCAGAGGGGGAUGGAAUUCCGCGUGUAGCAGUGAAAUGCGUAGAUAUGCGGAGGAACACCGAUGGCGAAGGCAAUCCCCUGGGCCUGCACUGACGCUCAUGCACGAAAGCGUGGGGAGCAAACAGGAUUAGAAACCCGAGUAGUCC